GCCAAAAUCGAUAGCAGCUCAACAGCUGAUGAAACUGUAGUAUUAGUAGUGUUUUCAUUAGAAUUUCAAUUGGUUUUAAGUAAACAAUAAUUUCAAAAACAAAAAAGAAUGUCUUCUGCCCGCAAAUUGUCUCGAGAACUCUCCUAUAGCCCCGAGGGCUCCUUUGAGUACACCGCCCUACAGUUCGCCGUGAGGAGGAACUCGCUGGAACAAGUGAAAUAUCUAAUCGAGAGUGGGACAGAAUUAGACACGGGACCGGACCCGGCCCUACAUUUGGCCCUCCGAAACAAACAAGUGGACAUUGCCAUUCUCUUAUUAGAAGCGGGAGCGAAUUUCGAAUUAAGGGACUCCAAUGGGGACCAACCGAUACACAUCUCUUGCGCCCUGGGCCUCUUGGAGGCGGUUAAAGUGCUUUGCGCCCUCGGGUGCAACCUGGAAACACCCACCCAACAGGGACUCUACCCUUUACACUUGGCGGCCAAAUAUGGACAUAUUGCUGUCGUAAGGUGUUUGUGUGCGGCCGGUUGCAAUAUAGAAGUGAGAAACUUUGAUAAUAUUAGGGCCGACAUAACGGCCCUUAAGUAUGGUUUUAAUGAUAUUGCCGAACUGUUGGACAAGUUAAGGGUCUCAGGGCAUCGGGACCAUUAUGCCAGACAGUUGGUCCCUACGUCCAGGCCAGCCCUAAAGCUCUCCCUGAGGCUCCUGGGGCACUGCGGGGUGGGCAAGACGGCUUUUGUUAAAAGUCUGAAUGCUGGCCUGUUCGGAUCUUUGUUUCGGAGGUCCAGUUCGGCCCACAGUAAUAAAUCCAGGCCAUGUUCUCCUAUCAGCUGCACGCAUAUAGAAAUGGAUGUCACUUCUAGGCAGAACAGUAUUAAUUUUGAACCGGGGGUUAAUUAUCAUUCGACUAGUGGGAUACAUGUGCAAAAUGUGGAUGUGUCUUCCGUGGGGGACGUUACGGUAUGGGACUUCUCGGGGCAAGAAACCUACUUUCCGGUGUACCACCAUUUUCUGUGGCCCACCCCUUAUGCCGUGACGGCCGUUUUGUUCAGGGCGGACGACUCACCCGCGGUACAAAUCCGGCAGGUUUGUUUCUGGUUGAAUUUCUUGCUGGCAAGACAAAAAGCCGACCUGCCGACAUGCGAAUACGGACCUGUGAUCUUGGUGGCGACCCACGCGGACCAAACGCGAGCCACCAAGAACCACCACGGCGAGUGGACGUGUCCCGACGCCCAAAACACCCUGAAAACCGUCCGGAAACUGAUGCCCCACGUGCCGAACCUUAUGGACAAUGUGGUCGUUAUGGACGCCAACAUUCCCGCCUCGCACGCUUUCAAACUGUUUAAAUCGACGUUGGCGGGCGUUAAGCAGAAUUGUUUGCAGAAAACCGUGGGAACCUGGACGGGACUUCUAGAAAACGCCCUAUCGUGGCUCGUAGGGCUGCGCCACGACUACGACCAGUUUCCGGUCCUGAACAAGUCGAACUUUUCCGAUCUGCUCAGGACCAACGUCAACUUGUUGGCCUCGGACGAGCACAUAGACGAACUCUUGGACCAACUUCACGUUAUGGGCGAGGUUUAUUGCGUUCAACACCUGGUGGUUCUCUCUAUACCAUGGCUAGGACAUAAGCUGCUGGGGGAGCUCCUCUCCACUCACUUUAGAGCGCAAGCGCGAGAAAUCGGGGUCUACACCGCGGAAGAUUUUCAGAGUUCGUACACCCAGUGCGACGCCAGUGGGGUCCUGGAGUUGCUGGAGUGUCUGGACUUGUGCGUCCCGUGUGACGUAGACGGUGAAACUGAGUACGAGUUUCCCGUUUAUAUACAAACGGAAACUCUUGCGGGUCUCUGGGACGCCACCGAUAAAAGAUACUCCACUGUGGACGCCAUGUACGGAGGCCUACGACUCUACACUUCCUCGGGGAUGGUUCAUUUGUUCAAGGCGAUAUUUCCCCAUAUACAAGUGAACUUACGCCGUAACUUGGUGACUACUGGUGUUUAUAUGGAAAACGACAGCGAUUUGUUCCAGUGGAGUUCCGGAUCCAAGUUUUGCAACAUGGACAUGGAGGGCCUGAUCACUAUCGAGGAGGAGGAGCAGGAGGAAUAUGUGGAGGUGAAAGUGCGGGGCCCCCCGAUGUCCUCGCAGUGCUGUUUCCAUUUCCUGGAUAAUAUUAUGCAAACCGUUUGGCAGGCCGUUAAUAAAGUUUGUCCGGGACUGUUGGUGGAAACUCACCUGUUGAGUCCGGAAGAGCUCAGGCUGUACUCCGAGGAUCCUUACUGCUACAGCUCCCACCUGGUUACCGCGGCCAUCAUGGAAUCCGAGUCUGUACCAGACGUGAUCCUGUUUAAUCCGAACUUGAACUGUCACGAGACUAUUAGCCAGAUAAUCAUGUUUGACGACAUCGACUUGUCGAGACACAUCCAGUGGGGCUGCGUGCUCGGCGUCCAAGAACUCCCGGGCCCGGUGAAACUGAGACUGUGUGGCCACCUGGACCCGCCGGAGCCCCACGGGAGGGACUGGUGCCUCCUGGCCCUGAGACUGGGACUGUGCCAAAAGAAAAUCGCCGCCCUAGCCUCCCAGCACACUAGCCACUGCAUGAGGCUCCUCACCACCGCUCACUGCACCAUCGGGGCCCUAAUAACGAGUUUGCAUGAACUAGAUAGAGACGACGCCGCCGAAUUGGUGCUGAAAUGCGCGCCGAUAUUCAAAGUGAUUUUGGAGCAUGCGUCCGUUUAAGAGGGUCGGUAAAGUAGGACGGAGGUUUUAUUGAUUGUAAUCUUAAUAUAGAUUCUACAUAAACUUCCUUAAAGAAAUCUGAAGGGGCACAUAAAUACACACGUGAAUACAUCGACGGGAAAAUUAGCUGCGAAGUGUUUAUAACAUUAUUCUUCCUCCCAGGAAAAAUCUGGGUAUGAUUAACUUAGAUUACCUUUCCGGACUUUGUGGCUCAUUGUUAUUUUCCAGGAUAAAAUCGCUUACCAAGCAGUCAUUUGUCUUGUAAAAAAUGUCCUAUUUGACCCCAUAUUGCACUCCUAAGAAAAUGGGUGGAGGGAUUGAACUACGUAUGAGCAUUAAAGAAACAUUGAGCUACGCUUCUGAGAAAUUUGAACAUAAUAGUUUAAUUAAUAGAAUUUUUCCAGGGCCGUAAAGUAAAGCAAACCUUUAAGUCAACAGGGUUUUUGGAAAAACAUUAAUAUUUGGCCACUCACUAAAUAUAUUUUAGGUCUGUUGAGUUUAAAAUACUAAGAAAACAUUGGGCUGCUCUACUGCAAAAUUUGAACACUGUAGCUUAGUUAAUAGAACUUUUUUAAGGUUUUGAAGAGGCUUUGGAAAAACAUGAAUGUUUAGCCACCGACUAAAGAUAUUUUGGUUCUAUUUGUUUUAUAAUAUUAAGAGAAUAUUGAACUACUAAACAGUAAAAUUUGAACAUUGUAGUUUAAUUAAUAAAAAUUUCCAAGGCCCUAAAGUGAACCUAAUUCGGACACUUUCCUGUCAAAAGUAGCUUUAGAAAAAAAUUAAUAUUUAGCCGCUGACUAAAGAUAUUUCAGAUCAGUUUGCUUUAUUGUAUUAAGAGAACAUUGAGCUACUUUAUUGUGAAAUUUAAACAUUGUAGUUCAAGUAACAGGGCCCUAAAGUGAACCAAAUUUGAAGACUUUCCUUUUAAAAGUCUCUUUGCAAAAACAUUAAUAUUUAGCCACUGAAUAAGGAUAUUUUAGGAAUGUUUGCUUUAUAUUAUUAAAAGAACAUUAAGCUACUUUGCAGUAAAAUUUGACGGCAAAACCCUUAAACUGAUUGCACGAUACUGGCACAGGCUUACCAUAUUAACAAAGUCUACAUAUUAUUUUAAUUGAAAAUCUAUAUCCCUAGCAACACACACGAUAGUUAAAUAAACGUUUAUUUUUGGUUUACAUCAGGUGUACAUUUUUAGUUGAAUUUCAACUAUAAAUAUCGAAUAAAAUGUCUGCGUGAUAUACGUUAAGGAAUUUAAUAAUAUUAUGUCUAAUCUAAUUCGCGUGCAACAACAAAA
Molecule: RNA transcript, 4021 nt
Organism: Anthonomus grandis grandis
Lineage: Eukaryota; Metazoa; Arthropoda; Insecta; Coleoptera; Curculionidae
Gene name: death-associated protein kinase 1-like
Exons: 16
Source: RefSeq, a predicted model, not a curated record